This 458-nucleotide ribosomal RNA is filed under the name uncultured bacterium. RNAcentral describes it as "partial 16S ribosomal RNA". It matches the Rfam family "Bacterial small subunit ribosomal RNA", at positions 338 to 795 of the family's 1533-position model. The record is from RNAcentral.
CCUACGGGAGGCAGCAGUGAGGAAUAUUGGUCAAUGGGCGAGAGCCUGAACCAGCCAAGUCGCGUGAGGGAGUACUGCCCUAUGGGUUGUAAACCUCUUUUGUCGGGGAGCAAAAGCCGGACGUGUUCGCCUGCGAGAGUACCCGAAGAAAAAGCACCGGCUAACUCCGUGCCAGCAGCCGCGGUAAUACGGAGGAUGCGAGCGUUAUCCGGAUUUAUUGGGUUUAAAGGGUGCGCAGGCGGAUUUUUAAGUCAGCGGUAAAAUCGUGGGGCUCAACCCCAUCCAGCCGUUGAAACUGGGGAUCUAGAGUGUGCGAGAGGUAUGCGGAAUGCGUGGUGUAGCGGUGAAAUGCAUAGAUAUCACGCAGAACCCCGAUUGCGAAGGCAGCAUACCGGUGCACAACUGACGCUCAGGCACGAAAGCGUGGGUAUCGAACAGGAUUAGAUACCCUUGUAGUC